This 403-nucleotide ribosomal RNA is filed under the name uncultured bacterium. RNAcentral's name for it is "bacterial SSU rRNA". It matches the Rfam family "Bacterial small subunit ribosomal RNA", at positions 355 to 775 of the family's 1533-position model. The record is from RNAcentral.
UAGGAAAUAUUAGAAAUGGCCGAAAGUCUGAUCUAGCAACACCGCGUGUGCGAAGAAGGCCUUCGGGUCGUAAAGCGCUUUUUGGAAGGAAUAGGAAGGAAUGUACUUCCAGAAUAAGUCUCGGCUAACUACGUGCCAGCAGCCGCGGUAACACGUAGGAGGCAAACGUUAUCCGGAUUUACUGGGCGUAAAGCGCGUGUAGGUGGUACUGUAAGUAGGGCGUGAAAGCUCCUGGCUCAACUGGGAGAGGCCGUUCUAAACUACAGAACUAGAGGAUGGUAGAGGGAGGUGGAAUUCCAGGUGUAGCGGUGGAAUGCGCAGAUAUCUGGAGGAACACCGGUGGCGAAGGCGGCCUCCUGGACCAUUCCUGACACUCAGACGCGAAAGCUAGGGUAGCAAACGG